RNAcentral lists this ribosomal RNA (398 nucleotides) under uncultured bacterium. Its description in RNAcentral is "partial 16S ribosomal RNA". It matches the Rfam family "Bacterial small subunit ribosomal RNA", at positions 523 to 918 of the family's 1533-position model. The record is from RNAcentral.
AUACGUAGGGUGCGAGCGUUGUCCGGAAUUACUGGGCGUAAAGAGCUCGUAGGUGGUUUGUCGCGUCGUCUGUGAAAUUCCGGGGCUUAACUCCGGGCGUGCAGGCGAUACGGGCAUAACUUGAGUACUGUAGGGGAGACUGGAAUUCCUGGUGUAGCGGUGAAAUGCGCAGAUAUCAGGAGGAACACCGGUGGCGAAGGCGGGUCGCUGGGCAGUAACGGACGCUGAGGAGCGAAAGCAUGGGUAGCGAACAGGAUUAGAUACCCGGGUAGUCCAUGCCGUAAACGGUGGGCGCUAGGUGUAGGGGUCUUCCACGACUUCUGUGCCGUAGCUAACGCAUUAAGCGCCCCGCCUGGGGAGUACGGCCGCAAGGCUAAAACUCAAAGGAAUUGACGGGG